RNAcentral lists this unclassified non-coding RNA (491 nucleotides) under Athalia rosae (coleseed sawfly). Its description in RNAcentral is "misc RNA ENSAEAG00005003373.1". Lineage: Eukaryota; Metazoa; Arthropoda; Insecta; Hymenoptera; Athaliidae. The record is from RNAcentral.
CAAUGUUUCUCGGUCACUACAUACCAGCAUGCCCUCAAAAUUAUUUCAACGAGGAACUGUGGAUAAUAACGACUGAGAACUAAUUUUUCAAGACGCGAAAUAUUCGAUAUCACAGGGAGUGGUACAAUGAGUACAUGUGGUCCAGAUUCAAUUACAUCCGGAUGCUAUGGCGUUGAUGUGGCUAUACUGUUUAAAAGGCUUUCGUAUUUUGUCUUUACCGCGUGGACGUUUCAAAAAGAUAUAUUAGAGGUCACUAAUAACCAAAUAAACGAAGUUGCCACCUUUCGACAGAUAUCAGAGGAACUGUUGCAAUAAAGCAUUGUCCACUGGGAUAUUGAGGUACUCUGCUCCAUCCAAAUUUCGCUUUGAACGCACCAGUUUGUGAUCUAUAAACUCGGUCAACUGUGCCCUUAAGGCCAGAUCCGAACUGACAAGGAAUGCCUCCCGUGCUCCCCAAUACAGAUCUUUGAAUGCCAUCCCUGAAGAGAAGA